Molecule: unclassified non-coding RNA, 264 nt
Filed under: Hevea brasiliensis (rubber tree)
Lineage: Eukaryota; Viridiplantae; Streptophyta; Magnoliopsida; Malpighiales; Euphorbiaceae
Source: RNAcentral
GAAUCAACAAGCAAAUUUGCUCCUUUAAUGUCCCUGUGGAUUGUCUUUGUGCUGUGCAGAUAAUCCAAUCCAGAUAGAAUAUGGCGGGUGAAAUUGCGGACUAUAGAUUCGGUCAUGGCUCCACAAUGUUCACGGAAAUAUCUACUGAUUGAUCCAGGAUACACAUACUCCAAAUAUAUGUAAAAGUGAUCAUCAACUAUCUCAGUGCCGUAAUACUGCACAAUAUUUGGAUGCUUUAGAUGUUGAAGAAGUCUAAUUUCCUGC